CCCAUAAGCAACAAGGACUUUUUCUUGGAAAGGUUCGCAACCUCCCACCAUGAAGGCUCCACAAGCAACUGCCAAGCUUCAGAUUUGGUGGGGCAUUUCCCUCUUCAGCAAUUGAACUAUGCGUCCCAUGCCAGGCUUACAAAUAACUCAAUCCCCUCCCUCUGGUUCACACAAACCAGCAAAUCUUUGGACAUGAACUCUGAAUUCUCUUCCAGUUCAAUAACCACCAUCCUUCCACCCACAACAAGCUCAUUUCUGUCUACAUCUCUGGCUUUCAAGCCCUCUGUUACUGUUCCCUCCGACGAUCCUUCAUUAGCGUCUUUUCCAAUCAGUAGUUCACGGUUCUGGGAGGCCGGUGCCCCCAGCAACAAUAGUAACAGCAGCACUGGAAG
This 392-nucleotide unclassified non-coding RNA is filed under the name Hevea brasiliensis (rubber tree). The record is from RNAcentral. Lineage: Eukaryota; Viridiplantae; Streptophyta; Magnoliopsida; Malpighiales; Euphorbiaceae.